Homo sapiens (human) is the source of this 1069-nucleotide long non-coding RNA. The record is from Ensembl. Lineage: Eukaryota; Metazoa; Chordata; Mammalia; Primates; Hominidae.
ACAUCCUGAUGAUGCCUCCACCUCCCCUCCUUUGCCUUUAUGACUUACCCUUGGCCCCCACAACCCUCUCUCCGCUCCCUUGGUCCUAUUCUGGUUGGAAAUGCUCCAGAAUAGUAAUGCUUGCUCAAUUAUUUAACUCCUACCUGUUUUCUUCCAGAGCUGGCCUGUCCUCCCCGCAGCAAUUACGAGCUCUGCGGCUCCUCCUGUCCUAGCUCUUGUGCCGAGCCUGCCCUGCCCGACAGCUGCCUGACACCAUGCCAGGAUGGCUGCCAGUGUGACCCAGGCUUUGUGCUCAGUGGCAUGGACUGCGUGCCCCCAAUCCAGUGCAGCUGCUCCAUGGGGGGCAGGUACCACCACCCGGCUGGGGAGGCCUUCUGGACUGGGGAGCGCUGUGAGCAAUUCUGCCACUGCCAGGCCUCCACCCACGCCGUGUGCUGCUCCCCGUCCUCCUGUGGGCCGGGGCAGAGAUGUGAGACCCUCAGGGGCAUCUUUGGGUGCCACCCACUCUCCCCUGGCAUUUAUCAAGCAACCAUGCACUCACACGUCGCCUCCUUUGACCGGAAGAGUGUUGAGUUUCCAGGCACUUGCGCUUCUGCUUUUACCAAGUCCUGUGGCUCCUCCAGCUCAUUGCGCCUUUUCAAGGUGGAAAUUGGGAAGGAGAAACAAGUCCAGCAGUCCCAUUGUGUUCAUUUCAAAGAUGUAGGUUCAUGGGACCCAGGUUUGUCUGCAGAGAGAGCCCCGACCUGAUGAGGUGCUGAGACCACAGCGCUGUUCCACAAAGCCCCAGGAAGCCACAUUACCCUGUCCACCGGCCUCUCUAGCCCCAUCUUGCCCAGGAAGUGGGACCUUGGCGUAUCGCUGUGACCACACCUCCCAGCCGGUCAGCCUGGCCGCUCAGGCUCUACCUGCAAAGGCAAGGCCCCACCCAACCAGCACCCCUCUCAUGGCUGGGGGUGCCUCCAGGCUGCCCUCUCUAGGGCCAGGAGCCUGCAGAAACGCUCCCAGCCUUGAAUAAAGAGCAACGAAAUUAUUGAAACAAAAUCAAUAAAAGUUUGAAUCAGGGAUGGUA